RNAcentral lists this unclassified non-coding RNA (308 nucleotides) under Hevea brasiliensis (rubber tree). The record is from RNAcentral. Lineage: Eukaryota; Viridiplantae; Streptophyta; Magnoliopsida; Malpighiales; Euphorbiaceae.
CACCUCAUGAACUGAGAAAGGAUUCAAAGUUCUGGGCACUGAUGUUUACGACCCUUGGUCUUGCGUCAUUUGUGGUACACCCAUUCAGAACAUACUUCUUUUCUGUAGCUGGGUCCAAGUUAAUACAACGGAUCAGGUCCAUGUGUUUUGAGAAGGUGGUUCACAUGGAGAUUGGUUGGUUUGAUGAGCCUGAGCACUCAAGUGGUGCAAUUGGUGCCAGGCUCUCAACAGAUGCAGCAACAGUGAGAGCCCUAGUCGGAGAUGCAUUAGCUCAGAUGGUUCAAAACAUUGCAACAGCAGUGGCUGCU